UCAUGUUUCAUAGCAAGGGAGGAGCACUUGGACAAAGAUUACAGAUCCAAAUGGCAAAACUUCAUCAGAUUUCAAACAAUUCUCCCAUUGAGAGGAAGCGAGAAGUGGUUUUAUGUUGUUUGGUUGAUUAUCUGGGUGAGAAAGUAGAUGACCUCAUUAAAUACUACCAAGAUGCUGAAAGAACCAGUAUAUUGCAGGACCUCACCCAGCAUGUGAUGAAAAUAUAUGUGAUCAAAGAGGGUGAAAGCCCAGAGGACGUCGGC
Erpetoichthys calabaricus (reedfish) is the source of this 263-nucleotide long non-coding RNA. RefSeq lists it as uncharacterized. Lineage: Eukaryota; Metazoa; Chordata; Cladistia; Polypteriformes; Polypteridae. The record is from RefSeq and is a predicted model, not a curated record. The transcript has 3 exons.